AGUUACUUCCAGAGAAGAGGGUGAAAAUUCUUUCAACUUAAACCUGAAAGAUUCUGUGUCUUUUCCAAAACUUGGUACAGACGAAAAUGCUAAUCCAGUGUAGCGAGUGAUAAAAGACAAUGCUGAUAUGUGCAGUGUUGGGGAGUAACAGAUUACAUGUACUGGAGUUACGUAAUCAGAGUACAAAUUAUGAGUAACUGUAUUCAGUUACAGUUACUGUUUCAAUGAGUGGUAAUUGGAUUACAGUUACUUUGUUGAAAUAAAUUAUUUUUAUUUUUGUUUUUAUUUUAUUAUUUUUUUAUUUAUUGAUUGAUUUUUAUUUAUUUUUUUUAUUUUUUCUGUAAUUCCACUCAUUGCUGGAAACUAAACCAGGACUAAAACCAGGUCUAAACCAGGACUAAAACCACAUCUAAACCAGGACUAAAACCACAUCUAAACCAGGACUAAAACCAGGUCUAAACCAGGACUAAAACCAGAUCUAAACCAGGUCUAAACUAGAUCUAAACCAGGUCUAAAUUAGAUCUAAACCAGGACUAAAACCAGGUCUAAACUAGAUCUAAACCAGGUCUAAACCAGGACUAAACCAGGACUAAAACAGGAUUUAACAGGACUAAACCCUGCUGCGCGGAUGUGUCUCCUCCUCUUCUAUCAAUAAUAUUUUUAAUACGGUUAAGUAUCCUUGUCUUUGCUUCUCUACAGCAAAUCAAGUAAUCCAAAGUAUUCAGAUUACGUUACUCACUUUAAGUAAUUUAAAUGGAUUAUGUUACAAACUACAUUUUGAGGUAUGUAAUCUGUAAUCUGUAGGGGAAUACAUUUAAAAAGUAACUUUCCCAACACUGAAUAUGUGAUACUAAAAAUCUUUGUAAAACACUUCUUGUGCAAAGUUAAUAUGAAUCAAUCAAUCAAACGUUAUUUAUAGAGCUCUUUUCACACACA
Boleophthalmus pectinirostris (great blue-spotted mudskipper) is the source of this 936-nucleotide long non-coding RNA. RefSeq lists it as uncharacterized. The record is from RefSeq and is a predicted model, not a curated record. Lineage: Eukaryota; Metazoa; Chordata; Actinopteri; Gobiiformes; Gobiidae. The transcript has 3 exons.